CAACAAUGCGGCUCUCCGUUCUCGCUGUGUUCUGGGUCACAUUCAUUGUCGAUCUGAGCGAUGGAGGUUCUGUUACUAAACAGGAACCCUUACUCACACAGACAGAGGGAGAAGAUGCCACUUUAACCUGCACCUAUACCGACGAUGGUUAUUAUUUAUUCUGGUACCGUCAAUAUCCAGGCAGGCAGCCCGAGUUUGCAGUCCAGAUGGACAAGGGUGGAGGUUCUGAAUUUAAGGCGGAUUUCGCUCAGAAUCGGUUUUCUGAUACUGUCCAGCAGACAGACAAGUCGCACCGAUUGACUAUCUCGGAGCUACGGCUGUCUGACACCGCGGUCUAUUACUGUGCACAGAGUCUCACAGUGAUGGAAACGAGUGACAACCUCGUACAAUAA
Carcharodon carcharias (great white shark) is the source of this 392-nucleotide non-coding RNA. The record is from the annotation of a RefSeq genome assembly. Lineage: Eukaryota; Metazoa; Chordata; Chondrichthyes; Lamniformes; Lamnidae.